GGAGGGUUGUGCCUUACGUGAAUAGUCUUGUUGAUAUUUAGGUACCUUCUCUCUGCUUAUAGACUGAUAAGUCAAGAGCGAGAAAUCAGGUCCUUGUGUUUUGGGUCCCAUGUAGAAUGUGAAUUCAUUGGGUUUGUCCUUAGCAGAGCUUUUAUGCAUGCAGGUACAUACCUCCGUGAUUCACUAAUUGCAUAUGUUUUACUCAUUCUAAUACAAAGUGUAAAAGAUUCUAUGGUUUUGAGUUUUAUAUUUGUGCAUGGAUAAUUGGUG
Molecule: long non-coding RNA, 270 nt
Filed under: Citrus sinensis (sweet orange)
Lineage: Eukaryota; Viridiplantae; Streptophyta; Magnoliopsida; Sapindales; Rutaceae
Description: long non-coding RNA (CSIN_LNC000440)
Source: RNAcentral